UACUUAUGUAGAAAUCUUAAGAAACUGAAAAUUAGGUGGUGCUGCUGAUGCAGGGAGUGGGAUGCGGACCGAGGAAACACACUUGCCAGCAGAUCUGCGUCUCUGAGAGAGGUUUUUCCCUUGUGUUUCAUCCGUGGAAGAACACUUGCCACUCAUGGACCUCAUCUCACACGCCACCUCCUCUGCUGCUGCCUCUCUGUAGAGCUCAGAGCUGAAGCGAUCCUCACAGAGAUAUGGACAUGCCCCAGUUACUUGUCAGUUUGCUUAACUAUUUCAAAACACCAGCUGCAAAGGAGCACCGGAGUUGGAAGUAGAAACUGCAUGAGGACAGAGCCUGAAUACACUGCAUUCAAGACAGCAAGAUGUUUGCACAAACAUACACCGCAUUCAAGAUGGUCAGAAAAAGUCAGAAAAAAAAG
Long non-coding RNA from Nothoprocta perdicaria, 419 nucleotides. RefSeq lists it as uncharacterized. The transcript is spliced from 4 exons. NCBI's taxonomy places the organism in Eukaryota, Metazoa, Chordata, Aves, Tinamiformes, Tinamidae. The record is from RefSeq and is a predicted model, not a curated record.